This 94-nucleotide transfer RNA is filed under the name Gemmatimonadetes bacterium 13_2_20CM_70_9. RNAcentral's name for it is "tRNA-Sec". It matches the Rfam family "Selenocysteine transfer RNA". The record is from RNAcentral. Lineage: Bacteria; Pseudomonadati; Gemmatimonadota.
GGGGGCGGAUCGGGCCUGGUGGUCCGAGCGGUCUUCAAAACCGUCUAGGGCUCGCUAGAGCCUUGGUAGGUUCGAUUCCUACACGCCCCCGCCA